Molecule: long non-coding RNA, 314 nt
Organism: Macrosteles quadrilineatus (aster leafhopper)
Lineage: Eukaryota; Metazoa; Arthropoda; Insecta; Hemiptera; Cicadellidae
Exons: 3
Source: RefSeq, a predicted model, not a curated record
AAGGUCUCGGAACACUUCGACGACACUUCGCACUUCAGCACCAUGAAGAACACAGCUGUCCUCGUCGCCCUGUCCAUCUUCUGUGUGGUCCUAGUGGCCAAUGCACAAAACAUUACUUCUAGAGUGGUAAGACAGGCUGAUCCCAACAUGCCACAACAAGCAUUCGCUGUGGCUGACGGAGAAAUGCCUGGUGAUAUGCCGAUGGGUGUAGCGGACGAGACGGGUAUGGGUAUGAUGUUGCCCGGUGCCUAGCUCUUGGUGAGCUCAAUGGAAACAUUGUAACAAAUAUGAAAUAAAACUGAGUACAAUUGUAA